This 292-nucleotide ribosomal RNA is filed under the name uncultured bacterium. RNAcentral describes it as "partial 16S ribosomal RNA". It matches the Rfam family "Bacterial small subunit ribosomal RNA", at positions 505 to 796 of the family's 1533-position model. The record is from RNAcentral.
GUGUCAGCAGCCGCGGUAAUACGUAGGGUGCGAGCGUUGUCCGGAAUUAUUGGGCGUAAAGGGCUCGUAGGCGGUUUGUCGCGUCGGGAGUGAAAUCAUCUGGCUUAACUGGGUGCUUGCUUUCGAUACGGGCAGACUAGAGGUAUGCAGGGGAGAACGGAAUUCCUGGUGUAGCGGUGAAAUGCGCAGAUAUCAGGAGGAACACCGGUGGCGAAGGCGGUUCUCUGGGCAUGAUCUGACGCUGAGGAGCGAAAGUGUGGGGAGCGAACAGGAUUAGAUACCCCUGUAGUCC